Molecule: ribosomal RNA, 1922 nt
Filed under: Rhipicephalus microplus (southern cattle tick)
Lineage: Eukaryota; Metazoa; Arthropoda; Arachnida; Ixodida; Ixodidae
Description: SSU rRNA
Rfam family: Eukaryotic small subunit ribosomal RNA
Source: RNAcentral
GCGCGGGGACGGAGGGCGCCCCCCUUUUCGUCUCAACAGCAUUCAAGCCAUGGGCGCAUGUCUAACAGUAGCACUGGCCGAAAUAACGGCGAAACCGGCGAUGGCUCAUUAAAUCAGCUUUAUGACUGUCUUGAUGGUGCUCCUUUAACGGAUCGUUUCUUGCCUAACUCUGGAUACACGUGUGCGCAAUUCUACAGGAGCCUACAUAGCAUGCAGUGAGCCGGCUGCGACGCCCUUUGGGUCCAGACGGGUGCUCUUUAUUAGACCGUAAGAUCGAUCCGGGUUUUCGGCCCGGGAUUAGUGUGGGUGACCCUGCUGGAUACCGAGCUUUGUGCUGAUCGCAUGGCCACGAGCCGGCGACGUUUCUUUCAAGUGUCUGCCUUAUCAACUUUCGAUGGUAGGUUACUUGCUUACCAUGGUUGUCUCAGCCGGGUAACGCGAGAAUCAGGGUUCGAUUCCGGAGAGGGAGCCUGAGAGCAACGGCUACCACAUCCAAAGGGAAGCGGCAGCAGGCGGCGCGAAAUUACCCACUUCCGCGGCAGCCGGCGGGAAGGUAGGUGACCCGAAAAAAUAACCAACAGCGGCGAGCUCUAUUGAGGCCCGCGUAAAUUGAAAUGAGUACACUCUAAAUCGCUUUAACGAGGAUCAAUUGGAGGGCCAAGUCUGGUGCGCCAGCAGCCGCGGUAAUUCCACCAGUCCAAUAGCGUAUACUAAAGCUGCUGCGGUUAAAAAGCUCGUAGUUGGAUCUCAGUUCCAGACGAGUAGUGCAUCUACCCGAUGCGACGGCUCGGACUGAACAUCAUGCCGGUUCUUUCUUGGUGCACUUCAUUGUGUGCCUCGAGAUGGCCGGUGCUUUUACUUUGAAAAAAUUAGAGAGUGCCGCUCAACCGCAGCGAGUCGCCUGCAAAUCAAGACUUGGCACUGGCAAAAUACAUAGAACAAGACCUCGUUUCUGUUCUGUUGGUUUUUGGAAUACGAGGUAAUGAUUAAGAGGGACGGACGGGGGCAUUCGUAUUGCGGCGCUAGAGGUGAAAUUCUUGGACCGUCGCAAGACGAACUACUGCGAAAGCAUUUGCCAAGAAUGUUUUCAUUGAUCAAGAACGAAAGUCAGAGGUUCGAAGGCGAUCAGAUACCGCCCUAGUUCUGACCAUAAACGAUGCCAACCAGCGAUCCGCCUGAGUUACUCAAAUGACUCGGCGGGCAGCUUCCGGGAAACCAAAGUAUUUGGGUUCCGGGGGAAGUAUGGUUGCAAAGCUGAAACUUAAAGGAAUUGACGGAAGGGCACCACCAGGAGUGGAGCCUGCGGCUUAAUUUGACUCAACACGGGAAAACUUACCCGGCCCGGACACUGGGAGGAUUGACAGAUUGAGAGCUCUUUCUUGAUUCGGUGGAUGGUGGUGCAUGGCCGUUCUUAGUUGGUGGAGCGAUUUGUCUGGUUAAUUCCGAUAACGAACGAGACUCUAGCCUAUUAAAUAGGUGCGGGGUUCCCAGCACCUUACAACCUUCUUAGAGGGACAAGCGGCUCCUAGCCGCACGAAACAGAGCAAUAACAGGUCUGUGAUGCCCUUAGAUGUCCGGGGCCGCACGCGCGCUACACUGAAGGAAGCAGCGUGUCUUUAUCCCUGUCUGAAAAGACUGGGUAACCCGUGGAACUUCUUUCGUGAUUGGGAUAGGGGCUUGCAAUUGUUCCCCUUGAACGAGGAAUUCCCAGUAAGCGCGAGUCAUAAGCUCGCGUUGAUUACGUCCCUGCCCUUUGUACACACCGCCCGUCGCUACUACCGAUUGAAUGAUUUAGUGAGGUCUUCGGACCGAUGUCCGGCGCGGCCUUUCGGUUGCGCCGGUCUGUGGAAACGAUGACCAAACUUGAUCAUUUAGAGGAAGUAAAAGUCGUAACAAGGUUUCCGUAGGUGAACCUGCGGAAG